Molecule: ribosomal RNA, 396 nt
Filed under: uncultured Lactobacillus sp.
Lineage: Bacteria; Bacillati; Bacillota; Bacilli; Lactobacillales; Lactobacillaceae
Description: bacterial SSU rRNA
Rfam family: Bacterial small subunit ribosomal RNA
Source: RNAcentral
UAGGGAAUCUUCCGCAAUGGGGGCGCAAGCCUGAUGGAGCAACGCCGCGUGAGUGAAGAAGGUCUUCGGAUCGUAAAACUCUGUUGUUAGAGAAGAACAUGCGAGAGAGUAACUGUUCUUGUAUUGACGGUAUCUAACCAGAAAGCCACGGCUAACUACGUGCCAGCAGCCGCGGUAAUACGUAGGUGGCAAGCGUUGUCCGGAUUUAUUGGGCGUAAAGGGAACGCAGGCGGUCCUUUAAGUCUGAUGUGAAAGCCUUCGGCUUAACCGAAGAAUUGCAUUGGAAACUGGAGGACUUGAGUGCAGAAGAGGAGAGUGGAACUCCAUGUGUAGCGGUGAAAUGCGUAGAUAUAUGGAAGAACACCAGUGGCGAAAGCGGCUCUCUGGUCUGUAACU